GAGUUUGUCGGUUGGUCGGGCUUCACUGUCCGCACUGGCCUGAUGGAUUCCUACCUUCUGAAUAACCAGCAUGCUAUUAAUUUAGUGCGUUGGGGAAGCAGAGCUAUUACCUUGAAAAAAUUAGAGUGCUUAAAGCAGGCUUACGCUUGAAUAGAUUAGCAUGGAAUAAUAAAAUAGGACUUUGGUUCUAUUUUGUUGGUUUCUAGGACCGAAGUA
This 216-nucleotide ribosomal RNA is filed under the name Glomeromycotina sp. MIB 8822. RNAcentral's name for it is "partial small subunit ribosomal RNA". The stretch from base 47 to 216 matches the Rfam family "Eukaryotic small subunit ribosomal RNA", at positions 692 to 864 of the family's 1831-position model. Lineage: Eukaryota; Fungi; Glomeromycota. The record is from RNAcentral.